AAUAAUGACUCAAUUGACUACAAGUACAAAGAAUGAAAUUCAAGUGUUUCCUACUCAAGUUGGUAAAGCGUAUCUCAAUUGGACGUAUUUAUGCUAAAAGGAACUAUGUGCAUAUAGGAUUUACGUAGACCAUAGUUCCCUUUAGCAUAUAUACGUCCAAUUGGAAAGUUUGGACAAAGAUGGGGAACCGCCAAGGACUAUUAGCUUCAGAUAAACUCGCAUAUCAUUUUAGAUCAAGCGCAGUAUUAACCGAUUUCUUGUCCAUCUCUGUUCGCAAUCCAGGACUACAAAUGAAGAUGAUGCUGGGAUCGCAGGUCUUAUCACUUUUACUCGUUUUUAUCCUCGUCGCAAAUGAGGCAGCGCAUAUUCCUGAACCUACUCUCACGGAGGAAAUCCAAAAGGAUGCCGUCUUCCCAAGAAGUUCAGAAAUGGCGUUUUUCGGUCUUUUUAACCAUUCAUGGUCGAUCGGCGUUUCUUGUGACGACGAAACUCUGAAGUACCAGGCAGUAAUCAGCUCCGAAACUGUCUCGCGAGUGACAUUUCCUCAAAACGACACACAGAGUGACAAAAUCAUCAACCGUUGCGAGUUCGUCGACAAACUGGCUAAAUUUUGGGGCGGUUACGUGUACAUCGAGAACGGAAUUCCUCCGUUCACCACAACCAUUACAGUCGCCAUUAUUCCUCAAUCAUACUACGGAUCAUUCAAAUUCCUAAUUAAAUGUUACGUUGUCGAUUCGCUUAUGACGAGUGGAUGUCUUCCAAUUUCAAAUGAUCUUGAAACGGCACGGAAAGAUGAGGGGAAACUAAGCCGUGGCAAAAGUUGAAAGUCUAAGACAACCAGGGGGAGGGGGCGUACACCGAGAGAAAACUUCGGCGUAUAUGGAACAUACAUGCUUUCAGUCCACGUAACUGAAGUGUUCGGUCAUAGAGACCUAAUGCCACAUCAGCUGUUUAUCGUUAUUCACACUAAAAAUUCCGGCUGUUUAAACCUGAGUUCGGUACGUGCGACCAAAAACUUCAGUUGCGGGGAUCGAAAACUUCAACGUUCCACAUAUGAAUUGAAUAAAAGCAGUUCUUGUGACCGAAGUUUUUUUAUUCGGUGUACAGCGGAGAGCGUAAAUAACGGGAUCCUUAACGCAAUAACGCAUCCCUGUCUCUCUCAGAGAAUAAACCAAGCUUAAAUUCUCACAGUUCAAAGUUUCUUAAAAGUUCCAAGACACAGGAGAUAUAAUGAGCUUCAAUUUCACCUCGUUGCACAUUAAUUUAAGUUUUUGGACUCGAGACAGUUGUUGAACUGUUAGCUGAUUAUGGUUCCUCCUUAAUAAAAGUCUAUGAGUCAGCGGCAUCACUCCUAUAAGAAAGUCAAAAAUUGUGGAAAGCUAGACAUAGUUUAAAAUUAAUGUACUGAAAGCAUAUUUGGCCAGCAUCGGAUGGUCCCGUUGUUUAAUUUCACGUAAACGUAUGUCAAAAGCCCGGGAAUAGGAGAUUUAGAAGAAGGGGGAAUAGAAGAAAAUUUAUGGAACAUGGGCACCGCUCUCCUGAGGAGUUUAUCUCGCAUCACAAUUUUCAAGGAACGUUUAGAAAUUAUGGCCGCAGUGUGUGGGAGUUAAGAGUGCAAAAGUUUGCAAAUUUUAGAAUAAACUUAAGAGGUUUGAGCCGAUUUGGCUGAUAGAAGCCUACAAGCGUUAGUUAAAAUACUCAAUUUGGUUGGUUGGAAAUGUUACUUGUAUAUUUUGAAAUAUACGUGAUCAAAAAUUGUUGACUCGUUUCCUUUUUUCUUC
RNAcentral lists this long non-coding RNA (1781 nucleotides) under Bemisia tabaci. Its description in RNAcentral is "lncRNA ENSSSA1NGG007060". The record is from RNAcentral. Lineage: Eukaryota; Metazoa; Arthropoda; Insecta; Hemiptera; Aleyrodidae.